RNAcentral lists this long non-coding RNA (416 nucleotides) under Athene cunicularia (burrowing owl). RNAcentral's name for it is "lncRNA (ENSACUG00000008281.1)". The record is from RNAcentral. Lineage: Eukaryota; Metazoa; Chordata; Aves; Strigiformes; Strigidae.
GGUGAUAUAAAAUGCAAUAUUUUCAGGCAGCUAUCGAGCUUUUCUAGAGGAAGAGCUGAUGAAAACAGUCACAGCUGAAUAGUGGAGAGAAAAAAGCUCUGUAUUUAUUGCUUUUGUUUGGCUUUUGGCUACAGAGACAGGAACAUUCUAAUGGGAUCAGAGAGCGUUUCUGAGGUCCUGAGUCUGGCGGAGUGCCCAUGUGGUGUGGCAUCUCCUCAAUGUCAAGGUUUGUCAAGGAAACCUGUGACCACUGGUUGAACAGGAACUGUGGAGAACUGCCACAGGGCACAUGAUGACCUCAUGAACCACCCUUUAGACUUCCAGUGCUUCUGGCUUUAAUAUUCUGUGCUAGAUUCACAGAGCUCUUCUACAGAUGCUAAGCGUUCAAUCCUGAAGGCUCCACUUCAUCAUCAGGU